Molecule: unclassified non-coding RNA, 361 nt
Filed under: uncultured Ascomycota
Lineage: Eukaryota; Fungi; Ascomycota
Description: sequence contains ITS2
Rfam family: 5.8S ribosomal RNA (bases 1-154)
Source: RNAcentral
AACUUUCAACAACGGACCUCUUGGUUCUGGCAUCGAUGAAGAACGCAGCGAAAUGCGAUAAGUAAUGCGAAUUGCAGAAUUCAGUGAAUCAUCGAAUCUUUGAACGCACAUUGCGCCCCUUGGUAUUCCGAGGGGCAUGCCUGUUCGAGCGUCAUUGCAACCCCUCACGCCCAGCGUGGUCUUGGGGCCCGCGUCCCCCGCGGCCCUUAAAACCAGGAGCGGUGCCCGGCGGGCCCUAAGCGUAGUCGUCUACCCUCGCUUCUGGGCCCCCCGGGUGCCUGCCACCACCAGAACCCUUCAGGUUGACCUCGGAUCAGGUAGGGAUACCCGCUGAACUUAAGCAUAUCAAUAAGCGGAGGCU